Molecule: long non-coding RNA, 347 nt
Organism: Oncorhynchus gorbuscha (pink salmon)
Lineage: Eukaryota; Metazoa; Chordata; Actinopteri; Salmoniformes; Salmonidae
Exons: 3
Source: RefSeq, a predicted model, not a curated record
UUUAUUCCAGAUCAGCCAAAGAUAACCCACAUCACUGAUGAUAAGGGAGGACCGAAGUCAAUGAAGGAGGGGCCCCUGAAGUUACCCAUGAGCCCUUGUCCCCCAUCACAUUUUUCCCUUGUGGAGAGCCAGCCUUUGUACAGUGUCCAGGCUGCUAGAAAGAGAAAGCACUGCAUUCCUGAUGGAUUCAAGUGUAGACAGUGCUGGAGUCAGACACCAGUACGUCAGACUACCAGCAACACAUCCAGGAGAAGGGGCUCACCCUUCGUCAGUCUACUCCUCAGGGGCAGGCCUGCUCUCCCUCCAGCAGAGAGCACAGGUCCAGCCAUAUCUCCACCUCAGAGCAA